This 72-nucleotide transfer RNA is filed under the name Ornithorhynchus anatinus (platypus). It matches the Rfam family "tRNA". From Rfam's summary of the family: Transfer RNA (tRNA) molecules are approximately 80 nucleotides in length. Their secondary structure includes four short double-helical elements and three loops (D, anti-codon, and T loops). Further hydrogen bonds mediate the characteristic L-shaped molecular structure. tRNAs have two regions of fundamental functional importance: the anti-codon, which is responsible for specific mRNA codon recognition, and the 3' end, to which the tRNAs corresponding amino acid is attached (by aminoacyl-tRNA synthetases). tRNAs cope with the degeneracy of the genetic code in two manners: having more than one tRNA (with a specific anti-codon) for a particular amino acid; and 'wobble' base-pairing, i.e. permitting non-standard base-pairing at the 3rd anti-codon position. The record is from Rfam by way of RNAcentral. Lineage: Eukaryota; Metazoa; Chordata; Mammalia; Monotremata; Ornithorhynchidae.
AGCAGCGUGGCUCAGUGGAAAGAGCCUGGGCUUGGAAAUCAGAGGUCAUGGGUUUGAAUCCUGACUCUGCCA